This 128-nucleotide ribosomal RNA is filed under the name Ophiostoma ips. RNAcentral's name for it is "partial 5.8S ribosomal RNA". It matches the Rfam family "5.8S ribosomal RNA", at positions 30 to 154 of the family's 154-position model. Rfam says of the family: 5.8S ribosomal RNA (5.8S rRNA) is a component of the large subunit of the eukaryotic ribosome. It is transcribed by RNA polymerase I as part of the 45S precursor that also contains 18S and 28S rRNA. The record is from RNAcentral. RNAcentral also lists the same sequence under 9 other names. Lineage: Eukaryota; Fungi; Ascomycota; Sordariomycetes; Ophiostomatales; Ophiostomataceae.
GCAUCGAUGAAGAACGCAGCGAAAUGCGAUACGUAAUGCGAAUUGCAGAAUUCAGCGAGUCAUCGAAUCUUUGAACGCACAUUGCGCCCGCCAGCAUUCUGGCGGGCAUGCCUGUCCGAGCGUCAUUU